Molecule: long non-coding RNA, 250 nt
Filed under: Pan troglodytes (chimpanzee)
Lineage: Eukaryota; Metazoa; Chordata; Mammalia; Primates; Hominidae
Description: long non-coding RNA NONPTRT016641
Source: RNAcentral
GGUGACAGAGACAGACUCUGUGUCAAAAAAAAAGAAAAAAGAAAAAAAGAAGUUAACAUACAAAACCCAACAGCCUUCAUAUAUACAAAGAACUGUAUGCUUCUGCUAGGCUGUCUCCACUCAGAAACAAUUACAACAGUAUGUGAAGCAGUAUUGAAAACUUCCCAAGCUGCACACAGAUUCAUUGAAAAGGGCAGAAGCCUCAUUAAUACUAGAGUCUGAAGCACAACCUAUGACCGAACACUGGCUG